GACGAACGCUGGCGGCGUGCUUAACACAUGCAAGUCGAACGGCAAGGCCCUGCUUUUGUGGGGUGCUCGAGUGGCGAACGGGUGAGUAACACGUGAGUAACCUGCCCUUGACUUUGGGAUAACUUCAGGAAACUGGGGCUAAUACCGGAUAGGAGCUCCUGCUGCAUGGUGGGGGUUGGAAAGUUUCGGCGGUUGGGGAUGGACUCGCGGCUGAUCAGCUUGUUGGUGGGGUAGUGGCUUACCAAGGCUUUGACGGGUAGCCGGCCUGAGAGGGUGACCGGCCACAUUGGGACUGAGAUACGGCCCAGACUCCUACGGGAGGCAGCAGUGGGGAAUAUUGCACAAUGGGCGGAAGCCUGAUGCAGCAACGCCGCGUGCGGGAUGACGGCCUUCGGGUUGUAAACCGCUUUCGCCUGUGACGAAGCGUGAGUGACGGUAAUGGGUAAAGAAGCACCGGCUAACUACGUG
This 468-nucleotide ribosomal RNA is filed under the name uncultured bacterium. RNAcentral describes it as "partial 16S ribosomal RNA". It matches the Rfam family "Bacterial small subunit ribosomal RNA", at positions 28 to 507 of the family's 1533-position model. The record is from RNAcentral.